CCUACGGGGGGCACCAGUGGGGAAUAUUGGACAAUGGCGAAAGCCUGAUCCAGCCAUGCCGCGUGUGUGAAGAAGGUCUUCGGAUUGUAAAGCACUUUCGACUGGGGACGAUGAUGACGGUACCCGUAGAAGAAGCCCCGGCUAACUUCGUGCCAGCAACCACGGUAAUACGAAGGGGGCUAGCAUUGCUCGGAAUGACUGGGCGUAAAGGGCGCGUAGGCGGUUUAUGCAGUCAGAUGUGAAAUCCCCGGGCUUGACCUGGGAACUGCAUUUGAGACGCAUAGACUAGAGGUCGAGAGAGGGUUGUGGAAUUCCCAGUGUAGAGGUGAAAUUCGUAGAUAUUGGGAAGAACACCGGUGGCGAAGGCGGCAACCUGGCUCGAUACUGACGCUGAGGCGCGAAAGCGUGGGGAGCAAACAGGAUUAGAUACCCUCGUAGUC
This 440-nucleotide ribosomal RNA is filed under the name uncultured bacterium. RNAcentral's name for it is "bacterial SSU rRNA". It matches the Rfam family "Bacterial small subunit ribosomal RNA", at positions 338 to 795 of the family's 1533-position model. The record is from RNAcentral.